GACGAACGCUGGCGGCGUGCUUAACACAUGCAAGUCGAACGGAAAGGCCCUGCUUUUGUGGGGUGCUCGAGUGGCGAACGGGUGAGUAACACGUGAGUAACCUGCCCUUGACUUUGGGAUAACUUCAGGAAACUGGGGCUAAUACCGGAUAGGAGCUCCUGCUGCAUGGUGGGGGUUGGAAAGUUUCGGCGGUUGGGGAUGGACUCGCGGCUUAUCAGCUUGUUGGUGGGGUAGUGGCUUACCAAGGCUUUGACGGGUAGCCGGCCUGAGAGGGUGACCGGCCACAUUGGGACUGAGAUAUGGCCCAGACUCCUACGGGAGGCAGCAGUGGGGAAUAUUGCACAAUGGGCGGAAGCCUGAUGCGGCAACGCCGCGUGCGGGAUGACGGCCUUCGGGUUGUAAACCGCUUUCGCCUGUGACGAAGCGUGAGUGACGGUAAUGGGUAAAGAAGCACCGGCUAACUACGUG
This 468-nucleotide ribosomal RNA is filed under the name uncultured bacterium. Its description in RNAcentral is "partial 16S ribosomal RNA". It matches the Rfam family "Bacterial small subunit ribosomal RNA", at positions 28 to 507 of the family's 1533-position model. The record is from RNAcentral.